GACGAACGCUGGCGGCGCGCCUAAUACAUGCAAGUUGAGCGCUGAAGGAUGGUACUUGUACCCACUGGAUGAGCAGCGAACGGGCGAGUAACGCGUGGGGAAUCUGCCUUUGAGCGGGGGAGAACAUUUGGAAACGAAUGCUAAUACCACAUAAAAACUUUAAACACAAGUUUUAAGUUUGAAAGAUGCAAUUGCAUCACUCAAAGACGAUCCCGCGUUGUAUUAGCUAGUUGGUGAGGUAAAGGCUCACCAAGGCGAUGAUACAUAGCCGACCUGAGAGGGUGGUCGGCCACAUUGGGACUGAGACACGGCCCAAACUCCUACGGGAGGCAGCAGUAGGGAAUCUUCGGCAAUGGACGAAAGGCUGACCGAGCACCGCCGGGUGAGUGAAGAAGGUUUUCGGAUCGUAAAACUCUGUUGGUAGAGAAGAACGUUGGUGAGAGUGGAAAGCUCAUCAAGUGACGGUAACUACCCAGAAAGGGACGGCUAACUACGUG
This 497-nucleotide ribosomal RNA is filed under the name uncultured bacterium. RNAcentral's name for it is "partial 16S ribosomal RNA". It matches the Rfam family "Bacterial small subunit ribosomal RNA", at positions 28 to 507 of the family's 1533-position model. The record is from RNAcentral.